Long non-coding RNA from Bos taurus (domestic cattle), 1848 nucleotides. The record is from Ensembl. Lineage: Eukaryota; Metazoa; Chordata; Mammalia; Artiodactyla; Bovidae.
GCCCAGCUUAGAAAAGCGGCCACGGUGGCGCCCUGCCAACUUUGCUGGCGGGAAGGCAGGCCGGCGCCCCCCCACCGCCACCCCAGCUUGCCCUUAACCUCAGACUGCCUGAGCCUGCUGGUGGGCAGGAGCUGGCCCAGACCUGCCUGCAGAGUGAGAAUUGGGGGGCACGGACUUCCGAGAUGGGGGCCAGCUGGUGAGGGGAGUGGGGACACGCGCUGGUGGUGUGCUGUCAUCCUUGGGGUGAAGGUUCCUCUGACGAUCUAGACCUCCUCUCUGAGAACCCAGGGUCUUCAGACCCCCCUGUGGAGGACGUCUGGGAAUUUGUUGUUACCCAGUCCCAGCUCGCUCUGCUGGCUGGAGAUAGGCCCCUGAAUCAGAGAGAUGAGUUGUUGAGGCAAGGAGACUAUUUGGAAAGCUGGGUGACUGAGAAGAUGGCAGACUAAUGUCUUAAGGUGGGCAAAGUCACAGGUGAGCCGACCAAAGGAGCUUUAACAGUCAGGCAGAGGGGCGGGGUCCUUUGAGGCAGGCAGUUAUGAGGAGAAGGGGACGGCAGAGGAGGAGAUGAUUGGAUGGCAUCACCAACUCAAUGGACAUGAGUUUGAGCAAGCUUCGGGAGAUGGUGAAGGACAGGGGGACCUGGCAUGCUGCAGUCCAUGGGGCCGCAAAAAGUUGGACAUGACCGAGCGACUGAACAACAAGAGUAAGAACAGCAACACGGAAAGCAAGGCAAAGACAGAGUUCCAACGUGGAGUCAGAAUUGGUUCUUCUCUGAGAUAUUAGGAAGUGGGUCCUUUCUCUCUGAUCCAGGGGUUCGGCACCCUCUAAAACUGUUGUGGGUUCACCUGUCAGCUUGUAAUGUGGGUGAAAUCUCAGAUCCUUUGGUUCUUCACAAGUCCUCGGAAGAGAUCAGCAUGGGCCUUUCCUUUCAGCAUGCAAUCCCCUCCUUCCCUCAAGCUUCUGCCCCCCGCCCCCACGCACCCCACCCCCAGAUUCCAGCCUUUGUUGUCUUAACCAGUUAGACCUGCUGUGGAGCCAACUACCAGGCUGCCUGCUCACCGUCCAUCAGGGUGAGGUCAGACCUCCCUACCAACAGCAGCCUUGUGGGUGUCCUGCAGGGGCUGUUGGGGGCUGGGGGCUUGCACCUCCUUAACACCCUGACGUGAACAGGAGCAGUCUGUUCAGAUUAAAUCCACGUUGUGUUCUGGGCCGGUUCCCAUCGCAUCCUGCUUUCCAGCCCAGGUUACCCUUAACCCGAAAUUACACCUUCAGGUCAACAGCAGCACAGACACUGAUAGCCCCAAUUUUAGUAUAAACCUUUCCCGAUGUCCAGUAUCCCAGGAGAAAUUAUGGUACAAGAAUUCAUCCUUUCCUGAAGCAGUGUAAGCCUCAAAAAAAUGGAACUAAAAUUCUUAAGUUCAAGUCCAAACAAGUUUCAAGUACUUGUAAGAAAAACAAUCCCAAACGAAUCACCGUUCUCUAUUGUGAGGUCUGAUAAACAGAUCACGUGACUUCGCGGCAGCUCUGGGCUCUGGGCGUGGCUGUCAGGAAGGCUGGAUGGACUCCAGACACUGGGGCCGGCCUGAGUCUGCAGGCUUCUGGCAGCAGGAGCUCACAGCCCAGGCUUUGCUUUGACAUCAAAAAAGGCUGUUUUGUUAAUGAGAAGGAAACUUUCCCCUUCUUCCCUUCUAGGGUUUUCGGCUUGAUAAUAAUUAAAUUGACAUAAACCAAGUUAACAGCAGAAAAAUACAUUUUGUGUUUACCGGAAUCCCAUGAAAGCCUGGCAGCCAAAGGACAGCCAGAUAAUUGCGGCUUUUGUAACUUCCCAAGACAAGGGGCGGGGUGGGU